RNAcentral lists this long non-coding RNA (477 nucleotides) under Pan troglodytes (chimpanzee). Its description in RNAcentral is "long non-coding RNA NONPTRT015895". The record is from RNAcentral. Lineage: Eukaryota; Metazoa; Chordata; Mammalia; Primates; Hominidae.
UUGGGAUGAGAGAAAAAUGGUCUCUGCUUUCAGGAGCUCACAGUGAAGAAAUGAGGAGGAAUAUAGAAGCAAAUUAACACAAAUCAGCAUGAGAGGUCUCUCCAUCUGCAUGGGAUCCCUCUAUCAGAAGGUAUUGACCUUGGCUUCAGAAUCACCUGGAAAGCUCUGAAAGACCUCAAUGCCUAGACUGCAGCCCAGACCAACUAACACUCCCUGGGGGUGGUACCCAGGCAUCUGUAUUUUUAAAAAUUCUGCAUGUGAUAUUAAUGGGCAGCCGAGUUUGAAAACCACUGUCAUAAAUCGAGAAUUCAGUAAUUCAAAAAUAAGAGUUAGGAAGAUGACUGUAUUAUGGUUUGGAGACUGUUACUAUAUUCUGAGAGGGCUGGUAGAGAAAAGAAUAUUGUUGUUCAGAGGAGAUCAGUGGUUAUAUCUAGCCAGGUUCAAAUACAGGAGCAUCAUAGAAUUUUACUAAUGCAG